This 253-nucleotide ribosomal RNA is filed under the name uncultured bacterium. RNAcentral's name for it is "partial 16S ribosomal RNA". It matches the Rfam family "Bacterial small subunit ribosomal RNA", at positions 524 to 776 of the family's 1533-position model. The record is from RNAcentral.
UACGUAGGUGGCAAGCGUUGUCCGGAUUUAUUGGGCGUAAAGCGCGCGCAGGCGGUGCGUUAAGUCCGAGGUGAAAUCUCCCGGCUCAACUGGGAUAGGUCUUCGGAUACUGGCGGACUUGAGGAGAGCAGAGGUGAGUGGAAUUCUGGGUGUAGUGGUGAAAUGCGUAGAUAUCCAGAGGAACACCAGUGGCGAAGGCGGCUCACUGGGCUCCACCUGACGCUGAGGCGCGAAAGCGUGGGGAGCGAACCGG